CGCUGAUCGUCAUGUAAGUAUCGCGUAGGUCUUUGUAAUGAACGACCCUGAAAAAUGUAGUAGAAAUGUGAUCGCGUUGCACCUGGUCCUUUGCCGAGUUCGGAAAGCAGAGACGUCGUACUCACUUCAAGGCGUAAGUCGUUGAAUCAGUUCCAGUUGAUCGACCAACGGAGGUGCCGCAGGAUCUGGCCUUGCUCUUUGCUUUCGAAUAGUAUCGGGGACUUCAUCCCGUGAUGGUUCGUGUGCUACCCAUCGAAUGAAUAAUAAAUUCUUAUAAUAUAUUCUUCAAUUAUACGUGUAUUGACACGUUGACGCCGGCGUGCAUCACCGGUGGGUCAUGGUUGCCCCUACCACGGAUGUCGCGCCGCCCCACCACACGGACAGUGAGAUCGAGCGCCGCCUCGCGUCGCAGCAACGAA
Long non-coding RNA from Hylaeus anthracinus, 419 nucleotides. RefSeq lists it as uncharacterized. Lineage: Eukaryota; Metazoa; Arthropoda; Insecta; Hymenoptera; Colletidae. The record is from RefSeq and is a predicted model, not a curated record. The transcript has 2 exons.